This 228-nucleotide unclassified non-coding RNA is filed under the name uncultured Alphaproteobacteria bacterium. Its description in RNAcentral is "contains 16S-23S intergenic spacer region". The record is from RNAcentral. Lineage: Bacteria; Pseudomonadati; Pseudomonadota; Alphaproteobacteria.
UCGCGGCUUAUCACCGGCAGUCCCCUUAGAGUGCCCAACUGAAUGAUGGCAACUAAGGGCGAGGGUUGCGCUCGUUGCGGGACUUAACCCAACAUCUCACGACACGAGCUGACGACAGCCAUGCAGCACCUGUGUUCCCGCCAGCCGAACUGAAGAACUCCAUCUCUGGAACCCACGCGGGACAUGUCAAGGGCUGGUAAGGUGGGGAUGACGUUUGAGAGUACGUCC